AAACGGUUGUGGCGACAUUGGAUCCACCAUCCACGACGCGAUGAUGUCACACACUUUGACACUCACAUUCGUCGUGGAAACCAACGCAGUAUACGCACUAACACGAAUGUACGUGAAAAGUAGAAAUGCAUUAUUCAAAUCAUUGACAGACUAAACUAAAGCUAUAUCUACUAAAGUAAAGGCGUGUGUGUUAUUGAGUAUUGACAUCGACAAAUAUUGAAUAAUAAUAAUGUAGAUUUACGUACUACUAUCUCUGCUUGUCAACUUUUAAUAUAAAAAAAGGUGGGCAAGUGGAUAUUGCUCUACUGUAUAGUAGACAUGGAGAUGAGUUGGUCACUAUAUAAUGGAUGUGUAAAUUUGAAUGCAAUGGCAGGUAUCAUUGUAUACGAAAAACGAUUCUGAACGGAGAUGAUUUUUACUUGAUGGAAAACUUAUGGAUAACUUUGUAUUGGGUUUUACCUAACCUUAAGUAUAAAUCACAAACAUUUUGUGAAUUUUCAACUUCAAAAUUCCUUGCAAAUUUUCGCGAUUUUGAUAUAUUUUGUAAACAUUUGAACUUUAAAUGCUUAUAAAUAGGGCUUAAAUACUUAAUUAUAAACAAAAAUUGUGACUAA
Rhopalosiphum padi (bird cherry-oat aphid) is the source of this 614-nucleotide long non-coding RNA. RefSeq lists it as uncharacterized. The record is from RefSeq and is a predicted model, not a curated record. The transcript is spliced from 3 exons. NCBI's taxonomy places the organism in Eukaryota, Metazoa, Arthropoda, Insecta, Hemiptera, Aphididae.